GGAGAGCUGUCCGAGCGGUUUAAGGAGCACGAUUGGAAAUCGUGUAUACAUUGAUAGUGUAUCAAGGGUUCAAAUCCCUUGCUCUCCGCCA
This 91-nucleotide transfer RNA is filed under the name Anaerococcus vaginalis. RNAcentral describes it as "tRNA-Ser". It matches the Rfam family "tRNA". From Rfam's summary of the family: Transfer RNA (tRNA) molecules are approximately 80 nucleotides in length. Their secondary structure includes four short double-helical elements and three loops (D, anti-codon, and T loops). Further hydrogen bonds mediate the characteristic L-shaped molecular structure. tRNAs have two regions of fundamental functional importance: the anti-codon, which is responsible for specific mRNA codon recognition, and the 3' end, to which the tRNAs corresponding amino acid is attached (by aminoacyl-tRNA synthetases). tRNAs cope with the degeneracy of the genetic code in two manners: having more than one tRNA (with a specific anti-codon) for a particular amino acid; and 'wobble' base-pairing, i.e. permitting non-standard base-pairing at the 3rd anti-codon position. Lineage: Bacteria; Bacillati; Bacillota; Tissierellia; Tissierellales; Peptoniphilaceae. RNAcentral also lists the same sequence under 2 other names. The record is from RNAcentral.